This 468-nucleotide ribosomal RNA is filed under the name uncultured bacterium. RNAcentral's name for it is "partial 16S ribosomal RNA". It matches the Rfam family "Bacterial small subunit ribosomal RNA", at positions 28 to 507 of the family's 1533-position model. The record is from RNAcentral.
GACGAACGCUGGCGGUAGGCCUAACACAUGCAAGUCGAACGGAAACGCCCUGAUAUGGUGGGGUGCCCGCGUGGCGAACGGGUGCGUAACACGAGAGCAACCUGACCUAGACUUUGGGAUAACUUCAGGAAACUGGGGCUAAUACCGGAUAGGAGCCCAUGCUGCCUGGAGGGGGUUGGAAAGUCUCGGCGUGUGGGGAUGGACCAGCGGCUUAUGGGCUUGUUGGUGGGGUAGUGGUUUCCCAAGGCAGAGACAGGUAGCCGACAUGAGAGGUUGAACGGGCACAUUGGUGCGAAGGUACGGCCCAGAGUGCAACGGGAGGCAGCAGUAGGGAGUAUUGCACAAUGGGACGGAGCCUGUUACGACAACGCCGCGGGCGAAAUGACGGCCUGUUGGUUGUAAACCGCUUUCGCAUGUGACGAGGCGUGAGUGACGGUAAUGAGAAAAGAAGCACCGGCUAACUACGUG